UUACACACUGAAACUCGAAGAUGAGCCCAAAAGAAAAAUCUUAACCAAAAUACUUAAAAGGAAAAAAGGAGAGGAAAAAAAAAAGUUGUUAAUAAUAUAUCAAGUAGAAAGAAAGACACAGUAACAGGUAUUAUAAGGCCAACCCUUGCACCAUUUGAAACAAAAUCUGAUCUUCAUCCAAGCAAAAUGAGGGCAAAAGGUAAGGAAGAACAGAGAUGAGGAUUAAUCAAGUAGAGAUCCCCUGGCACAGGUUCUUCAGUAGAAUUAUCCUCCUACUUUAGAAACAUUCCGAUCAUUGAUAAAUUUUAGGAAGUUAAAACUCAUCUGCGGGGUAGGGGUAGACCGAAGAUAUACUGGACAGAAGUAAUUAGAUAUGACAUGGAGCAAUUACGGCUCACUGAGGACAUGACCCUUGAUAGGUAGGUUUGGAGGACGAGUAUUAGGGUAGAGGGCUAAGGGAUGUGGUUAAGUCAUAGGCUGGAGUUAGGAGAGUUUCGUGUAGCUUGGUUGGUAGGGCAAGGGUUGGGGGGAGGGUGUGUCUUUUGUUGGUUCAUGUACUUAUUUGAGGUUGUUGUAUCGUUGUUAUUUUAUCAUGUUGUAUGCUUGCGAUAUUUGAACACGGUCUCGGUCCUUUUCUUGAGCCCGGGGUCUAUCGAAAUCAAUCUCUCUACUUCUUCGGAUGUAGUGGUAUGGACUGCGUACAUUCUACCCUCCCCAGACCCCACUAUGUGGGAAUAUACUGUGUUUGUUGUUGUUGUAAAAUUCAUCCGCACUUAAAAGGAAAGCUUUCCAGAGAUCAUGAGUUUUUGUGAAUGAAAAAUGACAAGAGUAACAACAUUAAUGGCCCCAACACAAGGCCAAGAAUCUACAAAGCAUAUUAGGAAAUUCGAAGGCGUUCUUCAAAAUGAUACAAGAGUGAUGUGAUCAAUCAUCACUAGAUUCUUUUUCCUCUUCAGGGAAGUUCGUUGGAGCAGGGAUGCCUCAAUGGUUGAUUUUUUUUUUAUUAUUUUUUUUUGCGGGGAGGGGGUGGGGGGUNNNNNNNNNNNNNNNNNNNNNNNNNNNNNNNNNNNNNNNNNNNNNNNNNNNNNNNNNNNNNNNNNNNNNNNNNNNNNNNNNNNNNNNNNNNNNNNNNNNNNNNNNNNNNNNNNNNNNNNNNNNNNNNNNAAGUGCAGGGAAAAAAGAUUUAAGAAUGAAAUUAAAUAACUCCAUAUAUAAUUAGAUACUACUUUUUCCACCACAAUAUGUUGAACUUAAAUAAGUCUGAUAUUUGGCAAAAGUUCUGAUUCAUGUUUGACACUUGUAUUUAGUAUGGACAUACAUGAAGAUUCAUAGAUUACUAUAUUUUUGGAAACUAGUAACCACUAACUUGCUUUGAAAAGAUAAAUCAAUUGAAGUUGAAAUGAAAAUUGAUGCAGGUAGAUUGGAUAGGAUAUAGAGAAUCCAUAUAGCCAAAACAACAACUCUUGGAUUGAGGUAUAGUUGAAUUUUAGUUGACAAUAAUCUGAACACGGCAGUAUAGCAAACAAGAACAGGCCACAAUCUAGCAUCAAAACUAAUACUAAAAGUAAAAUUAAACUGAUCACUGUUUCUAGAAGAGUAGAGCCCAUUGUUUCUCUUCUUUUUUUUUGUCCAGCAGCACAUUGUUUCUCUGAUUUGACUGAAAUAAUCUUCUUACAUUAUGCCUUUUUCUGUAUAUUAGGCAACUGAGCUUCCCCUAACCCUAUAAAUGCAAAACACUGUGAUGAGUUGGCUACCAGCAGGAACAGCCCCUCACGUCUCCUUCUGAAGAUAAUUUUCUCUUAAAACUUGUAUCUAUUUUUAUAUAUCCCUCUUAUAAAUCCCUUUUCACCUUGAAAAUUGAACUCCAUAAAGAAAACUUGAAAUGAAGAUUCCAGUUCCAACAUCACUGACAUUAAUUCUCUCAUCCUAUAGUUAUUGAUUAAUUACAGUUUGUGGGAUGCGAAUAAAGACCUGGAUUCUAAGCAUCAUUUCUUUUUAUAUAUUAAUUAGAAGGUAAAACUAUUGAAUAGAAAAAUGGAACUUUCUUAAAUAACUAUAGGAUGAAGCUUUCACGGAAACCCAAAAAGGGUAUCAUGAAAGGUUAAAAGAGACUCGAAGUGUUUUGUUUCUAGGAACUUAAGUAACCCAGAACCAGAUUUUAUCUGAAGAGUAUCAGUUCCCCUGACGGUGAUCUCUUCAAGGAUGUGUACAUUAAAUUAGGAAUAUUUUUGCAGCAAAGCCAGAGUAUCGCAGAAAACUGAAAAGAAACACAAUGAGCUCCAUCUGUUCUGAAGUCCAGUAAUGUUGGUCACGCAGACUAUGAACGACAACUAAAUCAUACCAAUUUGGUAUGCAUUCGAUAUCUAUCGAACUUUCGUCUUCUUAUUUCUCAGCUUGGAACCAUUCAUUUACAACAGAAGUAGCUUGAUAAAUUUGGGCACAGAAUUGGAUGAGUUCACUGAGCAUAACAAUGGUUAGUCUGGUAUUCAAACUGAAAGGCUGAGAGACUACAAUAGAUAUUCUCAUAGUCCAACUCAUUGGUACACAUUGUGCAGUAUAGAGUAUAUUCUAGUUAUGCUCAGCUAAAAAAAGGCAGUUCGAUGCACAAAGCACCACGCGUUGGUAGAGCCUGGGGAAGUACAUUAGUGGCUGCUUCCACGGCUUGAACCCGUGACCUACUGGUCACACAAAGACAACAUUACCUCUGCUCCAAGGUUUCAUUAACUAUAUUUCAAGAACCCAUGUGUACAAUGUUAUGUCAUCUGCCUUCGUCCUCUACUAUUCCUACUUGGCUUCUUAGGAUAAUAAUAUAUUUAACUGUUCAACACUCCCUUUAACAACUAAAAACCAACUAAUUUCUUCAAAUCACUAUGUCCGAGUACUUUUCAGCCUACAACUACUGAAGAUAUUCAAGAUUACAUUAAUACAUUUCAGUCUAAGAUCACCCACAGGAUGUAAGAACGAGAUAAAGUCUAUAGGAGUAAUUUCAGAUAUAGGACUCCUAAUUUAGAGUUAACAAGUUAAAUAAGGGUAUGAAUAUCACAGAUCCUUCAACAUACACCAAAAGAAGCUUAGUAAAACUUGAACAACAGGUAUACAUAACCAUAUCCAGGUCCAUGUAAUACAGGCUCCUUCCCUUCGAUAUUCCCCUUUCUCUGUGUAACUUAAGAGAUCUAACUAGUGCAUAAACCAAUUAGCAUGAAAUCUUAUUCUAUUAACAACAACCAACACCUCACAUAACCUGCACCCAGCAGCAACUACAACAACAUAAACAGUGCAGUCUCACAAAAUGUGGUCUGGAGAGGGUAGUGGCAAAAGUCAUAAAUGAAAUAGAACUCUCUGUCUCAUUCCCCGCUAACCGUGAACAGAGUGAAAGGCUGGCCAAGAGUUUUUUAUAAGGGGUCUUUUUUCUAAAAUAUUCCCCGAGCUCACCUAUAUCCUAUUUCUCUUCUAAGGGUGAUCCUAUUCCUCAACUCACAAUAAGUAAGGUAGGGACAACUCAAACAGACCUCAGCUCUACCUCAGAUGUAGAGAGGUUAUUUCCGAUAGACCUACUGCUGAUAACCUGCACCUAGCAGCAAAAAGAUAGGUUCUUUCUCACUUUCAACUACCCCCAUCACCCCCACACACAAAAAACCCCAAACGCAAAAACCCCAUAAUUUCUAAGUUCUGUUUUUUUUAAUAACCAUGGUGUCCAGGCAAGCUUUCGCACACCUCGACUAAAUCCGCGGCUACCUGCCACCUCCCACCAGCAACAGUUUAUCCUUAUUUAUCUAUUAGUUUUCAGUUCUUAUCUUCAGCGCGGGGUAGAGCAGUUUGGUAGCUCGCAAGGCUCAUAACCUUGAGGUCACGGGUUCAAAUCCUGUCUCCGCAACAUCUUGUUUUUCCAAACUAUUUUAGGGUUGACUCUGGUAACUAGUAAUUAAUUCCCGCCUUUCGCUUUUUGGGGGUGGAAGGCAAAAGAAAACGUAGGGGAUAUCAGGUAACUCUGUCUAACAAGGGUCGGACAAAUGGGAAGAAUCAUCUAGUGUUGUUUGUCCAUAAUUUCGAAGUUGUAACUGAAUCAGAAGUUCAAAUUUAACAAAUUCCAAGAAUUAAACUGCUUAAAAAUACUGAAACUAUAAAAAAUAGCUUACCAACAAGAACCAAACUGAGCUUAGCACACUGCACAUUCAAAAAGAAAUCCAAAAAUUAAUUAAUUAAUUCUUCACAAAAUCAAAAAACUUGAGAAUAGUGAAGGAGAGGGCAAGAGCUACAUUGUAAAUUUGGAAAGCUUUGCCAACAGCGACAGUGACGAAGGUUUCAGUACCAAGUCUCUGUACAGAGAAAGGAACAUUGGUCGUAAUGUAACCAAUUGCUCUAAAUGGCUCGAAUAUCCCCAUUUUCUUUGCUCCACAAGAAAAUUGAAGAGCUUUGUAAAGAUUUAGGCUACUACUAUGCACAAGGGUUUAACAAGUGUAAGCUUUAAACCCUAAUUUGUUGCACACCCUCGACUGUGUGUAUUUGUGUGUUUCUCUUUUCGUAUUAUUUUUUGUUUUAUGUUUUACUCCGCUCGGUCCAACUUUACUUACCCACUUUUGAACUUAAAACGCAUCUCACAAACAAUAAAUAAUAGAACUAAUUUUACUACAUUAUCGUUUAAACAUAAUAAAAUAAAGAAUCGUUUGAUAGACAGGCCGGCUUCAAGGUGAAGUCAUCGAAGCAAGCGCUUUAGGUUUUUAAUUUUUGGAGACCUUAUUUUUUUAAAGCAUUAUAGGUUUGUAUUUUUUUUUAGAUUUUUUCUUUAGAAAAUAUCAAAUAUUUCUUAAUAUUUUUGUCACCAUAUUUUAAUUUCUCUUAAGUUCAAAUAAAAACAUCACUUUAGAAAUUCAAGAUUAAAGUUGACAAUCAACAUUAAAAAAUAUCUUUUAAUACUCUCAAAUCUAAAAAAAAAGUCUAAUAAAUAGAGGUAACUCAAAAAAUCAUAUCUUCUAUUUAUUAUUUUGAUUAAUGGGGCGAAAAGAAUCAAAGCAACAAUUACAAUUGAAUCAAAGAAGUUGAAAGAUAAGAUGUAUUUCGGUCAAAUAAAAAGAUUUUACUAUUUUAUGAGUGCAUUUUUUUUCUUAAUCUUAUGUAAUUGUCUUAGCUGAAAAAAGUUUUUUUUAAAAUAAAAUUUUAAAAAUAUUACUUAAGCUUAAAAAAUAAAUAUUUCAAGAGUUAUCAAAUGAAUUAAGCAUAGUAUUAAUUGAAAAGGAAUUUUUUCAGAUAAAUCAAUUACAAAACAAUUUUAUUUAUAAUUUUACACCUCAAAAAGCUAUAAAUAUAGAUUUGUAAAAAAAAUAUUCAAAACCUCAUUUUAAAAUUUCGCUUUAGGCCACCAAUUAUGUUGAGUCGCCCCUGUUGAUAGAAUACAUUAAAAAAUUAAUACAUACAUUAACUUUAUGUAUUAUUAAUAUCUUAUUUGAUACACAUUUUCAACCUACACUCUAUUGUGUAUUAUGUUAUUCAUAUUACAUUCUUGAUAUUAGCAACGAAAAGGACUUUAAUGCAUGCAUUAGCAAGAUAAAGACGCAAUAGUCCCUCAAAAACUUUUUCACAUUAUUUUCAUUAUAUUUGUGGAGGAUAUUUUUAUAAAUAAUUUUUUAUUAAAAAUAUGCAAUGCAAGUUAUUUUUAACAUGUCAAAUCAAACACAACAUAAAAAAUAAUUUUGACAUAAUUAAUGCAAACAUAAAUAAUAUAUCAUAAUUUGCACUAUUCUUCUACACCCUACAAAAUGAUUCUUAAUGUCUUGAAAAAUGCAUUAUGUACCGAAUAUAAUAUUUACUAAUAAAGAUAAAAAAUACACAAAUAAAUAAAUUAAGCACUAAUUUUUUGAAUUAGAUAUCUAUUUUAGUAACAUGGAUAAAUAAAAAUGGAUAAUGUAUUUAUGUUUUAAUAAAUGUAUAUUUUUUUAUGUUUAUUUGUUGAAAAGUUACUACUUUCGUUCAAUAAUACUUGUCUAUUAUUGUUUUAGCACAAAAAUUUAAAUAAUAUGAAUAAUUUUAUCAUAUUACUCUUUGAAUACAAUUAAUUCAGUAUUUUAAAAAAUAUACUAAAUAAUGACUAUACUUUAACCGUCGAUAAAAUAAAUAAAAAUAAAUAAAUUAUUUAUUAAUUUUUUAAAUUAAAAAAAUAUUACUAUAUAUAUUGUAGGAACCCCUACCUUGAACCCUUGGGGGAGGGUUGAGGGGGGCUUGCUUGAUUGUUUUUUUUUUGGUUAAAUAUGAUGUUUCAUAAGUAAUUUUUCCUUUCUUUUUUUUGUAUAGUUUUUUUUUUUUUUUUUUGGUUCUCACCCAUUGUUCAAUAUCCAUAUUGAAACUUUGAUUAAUUCAAUAUCCAUAUUGAAACUUUGACUAAUUCAAAUUGUGCAUUGUAUGGCCCAUUCUGGGGGUGACGCUCCCAACGAGAUUUUCUCCAUACCCAGGGCUCGAACCUGAGACCUCUGGUUAAGGGUGGAGAAGUCCCACCACUACACCACAGUCCAUGUUGGUGUAAAAUCGUUUAGAAUCUUAAACUUUGCUGUAAAAAUCAAACACCCCCUCAACUUUGAACAAUAAUCAUUUUCCUUCCUUUUUCCUAUUUGAUAUUUUUAAAUACGUAUUUUACCCUUAUAUUUAUAUCAACAUUUGUAUCUUUUUAAGAAAAAAAAAUUAUAAAAAUAGUUUUUUAUUUUUUAAUCUAUAUAACAUAUUUUAUAUAAAAGUUAAAAAAUAUUUUUAUCAAACCCACAUUUUAACUUUAUUAGUAAAUUCUUUUAUAAUUAAUUACAAAAUCUAAAGGUACUUUUUACAUUCAAAUUUUUUAUAUUAUCUAUAUUUAUAAUCUAUAUCUAUAAUAUUUUAAAAGUGUGAAGACCCUUAAAAAAGUGGUUAGAAUUUUUGUCCUUCAUUAAAAUACUCUGCCAUAGACAAAAUCGUCUUUUCACCUUUUUCCACCAAUUAUUAUUUAAUUAAAUUAAACACUCCUAAAAUAUAUAGCAAUAACAAUUCUAUGGUAAAAAAUAUUAGGAGAAUUAAAAUAUUUGAAUAUAUAUGAAAAGUCUAAUUAGCUAAGGAGAAUUAAUGCUACUUUAUAAAAACCCUAAAUUAAAAAUUAUGUCAAUUAAAGCAAAAAAAAAAAGUCCAUAAAAGUAUUCUUGAAUAGGAAUGCAAUGAUAUUGAAGAAGCUAUAUUUAUAUACAUAAUAAAAUAAGGAACAUAUUCAUAUAUACGACAAUAAUACUCAUGUUUUUAAAAUUCUUUUGAACAUUGCUAUUUUUAUUUAUUUUGUAAAAUAAAGUUUAUCCCAAAUAAAUUGCCUCCCUAAUUAAAUUGGAAAAAGAUUUGUAUAUGAUAUUAUAUAAAAGGCGGUGAAAAGUCCCAUAAUAAUUUCAAUUAAGAAAAGAAAUUCAACAAUGAGAAAAGUUUUUAUCAAAGUUAUUAGAUGUUCUUUAAUAAAUAUAAAUGGUAUAAGUCAUUAUUGCUUGAUUCUUUAAUAUUUUUGUGUGGAUGAAGAAAAAUUCAUGUGGAGAACGUGAUUGAGAUUUUGUGUCCAUUACAAGCGAGUUUGUAUUGAAUUUUAUUUCUAAUGCAUAAUAAUACUAUUUAUAUUGUUAAAGUUAAAUUAUUAGACGUUCUUCAACUAAUAUUCUUCUACGCUUUUAUUUAUAUGCAUUGUCUUUUUUUUUUGUCAGUUGGUGCUAAGAUUUGAUGUAUUUCUAAUGUCAUGAUUUGCUUGAUACUGGUGGUAUUGGUUUGAUACCUCAAUAUUGUCAUAUUAUUUUGUUGUAUUCUACUAUGUUACCUUCUACUGUUUUAGUUGUUAUUGUUUCUUUAUUGUAUUUCAGUAAUUACUUUUUUUAACGACUUUGGACUGUUUUUUCUUGGGUCGAAGUCCUUCAACAAGCUGAAGUAUGAAAACUUAACAAAUUGAUGAGUGUUUUCAUAUUGUGAGUAGUUGAGAGUAUUUGAAAUUAUAAAACUACCGAAUAUAUUGUUUUAUUGUAGUUUCUAUUAUAUUAUCAUCUAUUAUUUUAUUAUAAUCUAUUGUUUAUUGUACUUCUCUAAUUACUUCUUUAUUGAAUUACUUUGGACUGUUUUUUCUUGAGCUGAAGUCCUUCAUCAAGUUGAAGUGUGAAUACACUAUUAAUUGAUGAGUGUUUUCAUAUUGCGAGUAGUUGGGGGUAUCUGAAAUUUUAUAGAUGCCAGUAGAAUUCAUCAUUCACUUUUUUGAAUAUGCAAUUUAUUAUUUAUCUUCGAAUUUUGAGUUCUACUUAUUGAGUUUGCUUUAUUGUUUUUCCUUUUCCAGUUUAGUUUGUAUUUGAUUGACAUGUCAUGAAAUUUAUUUUGUGAAGUUUCAAUCUUGCAGAUUCUUGAAUAGACAUAUCUUGUUUAUGUUUUAGUACUCAUUAGAUGCUUAUUUUCAUAAAAUUUUAAUGGCUUUAACAAAUUUAUAAAUACAAUAUAAAUUAUACAUAAUAACAUUUUAUAUUAAUCAUAUAUUCAUUGAACACAUACAUGCGCAAAGCGAGUACAUCUAAACUAGUAUGUAUUAAGUAUGUAUGUGAGUAUGUAAUAUGUAUAUAAAUGCAUACUUUGAUUUUCUCUUAUUCUUUAAUGUCUAUAUAGAUAAACAAGUUUUGGUUGUUAAUAUGAAUUAUUUUCUAAAUUAUAAUUUAAAAUUCAUCAACAACAAUCAUUUGAUUUGUAACAAAUAUACAUCUACAACAUCAUAUCUAGUGAAAAUUUUUAAGUGAGGUCUGAGGAGGGUAGAGGUACACAAACCUUACCACUAUCUCGGUGAGGUAGAGAGAUUGUUUUCGAAAGACCAUCAACUAUUAAUUAUUUUGUAUACCUAUAUUGAAAUAUAUUUAUAAAAUUAUAAUACCUAUUAUUUUCAAGUAUAAAUAUAUAUUAGAGUUUUGAUUUUUAAUAAAAUUAAUUUUUACUAUUGCUCAUUUAUAAUAUUAUAGUUUGUCAUUAAAUUAUAUACUCAAUUAAUAUUUCACACUUUUAUUUUUUUAUCUUAAUAAUAAUUUUUAACCUUUAUACAAAAUAUGUUGUAUAGAUUAAAAAAUAAAAAAUAUUUUCAUAAAAAGUUCUUUUUCAAAUAAAAAAAGAUACAAAUGUUGAUAUAAAUAUAAGGGUUAAAUAGGUAUUUAAAAAAAAUCAAAUAGAAAAAAGGAGGGAGAAUGAUUAUUGUUCAAUGUUGAGGGGUUUUUGAUUUUUAUAGCAAAGUUCGGGGGUGUAAACAAUUUUAACUCUAAAAAUAUUUAAAGGUGUAUUUGGAACAAUGAAGUAAUAUUUUGUGAUAAAUGUAUUUUCUCAAAUUUUUUGACUGGAAAAUUUAUUUUCUCAUAAUUGAUUGGUGAGUUUGAAAGUAUUUUUUUAAAAAUAUAUACUAUAUACAAUUAUAAUACCAAUAAAUGUGAGAAUGUUUUGAUAAAAUCCUUUAGUAAUAAGAUAUUAAUGAUGUUUAAAUUUUAAUUAUAAAUAUCUAAAUAAUUCAUAUGUUUUUAAGGCCUAAAUAUAUAUUUACAUGAGGAUUAUUGACAUCAAUAUGACUAUUGAAAAAUAUUUGGGAGUAGUGAAUGAAUCCAGAAAAACAAAAAUAUAUUAAAUUGAUGUUGAUUAUGCAAGAUUUAGUUAUUCAUAUAUUAAUUACUUUAUCUUUUAUUCUGCAUAAAUAGUACAUAAGUUUUCUCAGAACUUAUACAUAUAUUAGUUAUACGCAUUUUUAAAUUGCAAAUCAAACAUCGUAUUAAUUUUAUACAUGAAUAAUUUACAUUCCAACCAGUGAGAUUUAAUAUCCGCAUAACUCACCUCCAAAUCAGCUACCAAACGCCCCAUUACAGAUAAAAUAAUAUUUUAAAACCUUAUGUGUGAAAAAAUAAAAAGUCUCGUAAAAGAAAAAAGAGAAAAUUUCUUAAAUAACAAACACGAGUCCAUAAUUAAUUUUUUUCGUAGCAACAUGUUGUUAAUUGUAUCCCGUAGCCACUCACAUCUUUCUUUUAUAUAUGAAAAAAUUACUUAAAACAUCACCUUAACUUUCCAUUAUUACUUAAAACCCAUCCCACUAAACUAAAUACAAAAAUCUUUUCUAACUCAUAAAAGUAGCUUAUUUAAAGAUACAUCACAAUUCACCCCUAUUACUUCACCUAUUGCGCCGCAAAUCUCACCAAAAAUUUAGGUAAUGUAUCCGGCUAUUUUCUAAGUAAAACUUUCGAUUGUUUUUAUUACAAUUUCUAUAAAUUAAUUUUCGUCCAUCUGUUAGACUAUUAUGCAUCAAAAGAUAUUUUACUCUUCAGCAAUGUAUCAUAUAAGCUAAUUGUUGUUUUAUAACUUAAUGUAAAUUAUAUAAUGUACCAGAUAUUUUCAAAAAUAAGUCAGGUAUAAUGCAAACUUAAUCACAGUGAUGUAUCUCAACCAAAAUAAUGUAAUGUAUCAGAAACUUAAAUUAAUAAUACAAUAGUAGAUAUAAUAUUAUUGUAUUUGCAUAUAAAGUUAUGUAUCAUAAGAUAUUUAGCUUUUAAUAUAAUGCAUCAGAUAAUUUUUACACAUAUAAAAUAUUAAGCACAUUAAAUAUAAUAAUGUAUUAGUAACCACAAAUAAGUGUAAUGUGUCAUGAAUUGUAGUGUAUCAUGAACUCAAUGUUAUUAAAUGAGAUAUUUGUUAUCAUAAUACAAUAUACAUAAGUUUUUACAUAAUAGGAAAACUUAUGAUAUUUGUUACCAUAAGUUAUUAUAUGACGUAUAUUAUGUAAUUUAAACAACAAUUUCUUUAAUUAAGCGCAUUAAUUGCUCAACUGUAAGUUUAAUUAUCGUUUCUUUCCAUUUUUAACCACAAUUAAACAUUCAUUAAUGUAUCAUAAACUAAUGAAUCAUGACGUUAACUAAUGUAUCAUAUCUGAAAUUUUAUGUAAUUAUUAUAAAAGUAGGGAGAGAGAAUAAUUAGGUAGUAAAGUAUUGGGAUUUAUGUUGUUUAUCCUUUAUAUAUACUCCUAUUCUUCAUGUUUUCUAUCUUUUCUCUCUAGCCUCUUUUUCUUUCAUAUAUAUUUUUUUUCUUGUAUUUUAUAUUUUAUAUUUUCAUAUUUCUCCCCAUCUCUCUCCCUUGCUCGUUUUUUUUUUCUUUUUCUUAUUUAUAUUUUGAAUUUUAUAUUUUCAUCUCUCUUUCUCUCUCUUGUUUUAUUUGUCUUUUAUAUUUUUUUUUUGUAUCAACUAAUGUAUUUUGUGUGAAUUUAUCAUUUUUAUUUAGAUGGUCCAAUCAUGAAUAUGUACCAUUUAUCAAUUAUAUUUGUAUAUAAACAAGUAUAUGAAUUACUUAUAUUUGUUUGUAAUGAAUUAUUUAAACAAACAUGUAAUGUAUUAUUUAAUACAAAUAUAUCGUUUCGAUUUGUAUGUCAAAUUUAUUAAUUGUUUUGUAUAUAAUCAUGUAUUAUUUGUAUAGUUAGAAUUGUAUAAACAUUUAUUUUCUGAUACAAAUAUAUUCUUUAAAUUUGUAUAGUUCAAUUGUCUUAAUAAACACAAUUCGUAUCAGUGAAUACAAAGACAAGUAUUUAUAGAAAGAAAACAAUUCUUUUUCAAUUAUUUAAAAAUAUAAAUAACGCAAUUAGUCAACUAUAAAUAUAAGUACAAAUAUAAAAGAAAUACAAAUAAUGCAGUCGACUACAAAUACAAACAUUUCAAGAGUUCGUUGAUAUGCAAAAUACAAAUAUUAGCCAUGAAAAUUUAGGUGGCACAAUAUUCAAUGAGAUUUGACCAUAGAGAGUUAGGACUUUUUACGUGAUUGGACAAAACCCAAAUGGAUAAUUGAAUAAAAUCUCAAAAAUGGAGGAGUAUGAGGCGACGUUAUGAUUUGGGAUACUCCUCGUAGGUAAUUCUUAGAUAAAGGAAUUGAGAGAUAUUGAAGAGUACCCAGGAUAUAAAGAAAAUGAACAAAAAGAGUAGGAGAAAAGUAAUCGAAAAAUAAGAAGAAAAUAGACAUAUAAGGUAAUUAAUGAAAAUGUUGUGCGGUAUAAUUAAAAUGUAAUUAAUAAAAUCUCUCUCUCUCUCUCUCUCUAUAUAUAUAUUAUAAAACAAAGGACGAAGCACUAGAAGAAGCCAUGUGGCAAAAUGCUGAGAAUCCAUGUGGCAGUUUUUAGGACAAUUUUAAAAGUAUUGUAAUAAGAUCUUUAUAAUUAGUUGAAUUUUAAAAUAUAAUAAAAUCUUUAUUAUAUAUUUGAAUUUGAAAAUAAUAAUACUUUUAAAUAAAAAUAAUAAAAAAUUUAUCAGCUUAAACCUAGCAACCAUAGUUGAAUAGUCUUAAAUAAACUCUAACUAUUUCAUAAUAAUAAUAAUAAUAAUAAUAAUAAUAAUAAUAAUAAUAAUAAUAAUAAUAAUAAUAAUAAUAAUAAUAAUAAUAAUAAUAAUAAUAAUAAUAAUAAUAAUAAUAAUAAUAAUAAUAAUAAAACUCAUAAUAUUACGCUUAGGGUGAUAUAUUUAUCAAAAAAUAUUUUAAAAAAUAUAAUAGUAAUAAUAGUAAUAACAAUAAAUAAUAAUAAUAAUUAUAGUAAUAAUAGUAGAAGACACGGAGCACUAAUUUUUUAAGUUAGAAAAAAAGUAUGUUGCGGUUAGCAGUAGUAGUUUUAAUAAUAAUAAUAAUAAUAAUAAUAAUAAUAAUAAUAAUAAUAAUAAUAAUAAUAAUAAUAAUAAUAAUAAUAAUAAUAAUAAUAAUAAUAAUAAUAAUAAUAAUAAUAAUAAUAAUAAUAAUAAUAAUUUAUUGAAGAGAAAAUCUUAUAUUAUUAUUUUUUAAAAAAUAUUUGAAUGUGAAAAUAAUAUGUUUUUAGAUUUAAAAAAUAACAUAUUUUCAUUAGCUUAAAACUAGGAAAUCAUGAGUGGAGAGUAGUAAAUACAUAAAUUUAAACUUUUUAAAUGCUAUAAAAUAUAUUUAUAUAUUAAAUAUAAAAUAAUAAUUUUUAAAAUUAUCAUUAUUAUCUCAUUAACUUAAGAUAUUUAUCUCAAUUCAAAUAUAUCGAUAAGAUAACUAUAUAUUACAUUUGAAAAAGGAAGGAUAAGAAAGCCUAAUAAACUAGAUAACUAUGAUAGUGUUUGAAUUUAAACAAAAUUUGAAUUGGAAUGAAAUUCCAGAUUCUUAGGUUCUCUUAUAUAUAAUCCCAUAUAUAUAUCAUUAGCUUUAUUUGGAAUGAAUUUAUUUACUGCAUUUUUUAAUUCUUCAUAUUUUAAAAACUAUUUUUGAUUGAAAGAAUAUGUCAUUUUUCAUCUUUAUUUUCCUCCAUUAAUAUUCAAGGUACAUCAAUUUAAUCAAUCUGUUUUUCUUAAAUUUAUAAAAUUCAAUCUUUUGUUGUUUUUGAACAAUAUAUAUACAUGCAUUACAUGCUUUAUUAGGUACUAAACUAUCUGAAAAUUACAAUAUGUGAAUGUUCAUGGUGCCAUGACAAAUAAUAUUUUGUAUAAUAAUUGUAUAUCGUACUUUUCAUCUAUUUUUACUUUUUAGAUCCAUGAAUCUUGAUCAUUUCAGGUUACAAAACAAAUAUGUUUUUGAUUCUACAACAGCUAAUUUUUUUUCGAUUUGAUAAAUAUUAUUUUUACAAAAGUACUAUCAUUUAUAUAUAGAUUUUUUAUUUACCAAAAAAAAAUUCAAGAUUUUGUGCACCAUCAUUCUUAUCUUUUAUCACUGAGUUUUUAAUGAUUUUAUGGAUGUGUUCAUUAUGAAGAAAUAUAAUUUUUAGGAAAAAUAUUUUUUUAAGAAAAUAAAUUAUUUCUUACUUAUAUUUUUUGUUCGCGACGCAAAUAAAAAUAUUUUGUAAAAGCAUAUAUAUACUCUAAUACUAAACAAUAAAAAUGAAUAGUGGCAAAAAGAUGAAUAUAGUCAGAGUGAAUUAGAAAAGGUGGGGAUAAUGUAAGGGGGUGGUCUAGGUGGGUGGAGGGUAGGGGGUGGUGAAUUCAGGUUUAGUUGAGGUGGAUAGGAAAAAAGAUUCUUAAAAAUAUAAAUUAAAGAGUUUAAAAUUUUUUUGGGUUAGAAAAAAGAAAUCUAAAAAUAAAAUAAUUUAUUUUUUUAGGGGGGAGGGGUGCUAAGAAAAAAGUUUCUUUUUUAAAAUUAAAAUAAAUAAUUUUUAGCUGUUGAGGGGAGUCAGGAGUGUGAACUGGGGGUAGGGGGUUGGGUAGGGUAAGAAAAAAAAUUUAAAAGUUAUAAAAUAUAAAAUAAAAAUUGGGGGUGAGGAGAUGAAUGAUUUUGAGAGUAGUAUGAGAGAUUUUAACUAAAUUUAUUUAAAAGAUAUAAGAAUACAAAUAAAUAAAAUACUUAGAAAUAUUAGUGAUAAAAUCAAACAAUGAAAAAAAUUAUGAGCAAUUAAACUUUAUUUGAAAAUUGAAAAAGGUAUUAAAUUGUAUGUGCUUUGUUUAUUGAACCAAGAGUGUUGAAAUUUAAAUUUUGAAAUUAGAGUUUUUGUAAUUGUCACAAUUAAGUGUUUUGAAAUGAAAGUGAAAGAUAAAAUCUUUUUAUAAAAGAAAUGUAGUUAGUUGUUGAAGUUGAAUUGAUAGAUUAAAAUAAAAAAAAUGAAAAUGUGAAAUGAAAGUAAGUAUUGUAAUUACAUGCCUUAAUUUAUUAAAAAUAUAAGAUAAAAUCCCAAUAACAAAAUUAAUAAUUAUUUAAUAUUAAAUAAUUUAUUAUAUUUAAAAUUAAAGAGGAGGCUGGGGUGGAGAUGGUUAGGGUUUGAUUUGUUUUUUUACUAAAUUAUUUUUUUUAUUGGUAAAUAAUAUGAUACUUAAUUUUUUUAAGGUAAUAUGCUUUAGUAUGCUGGAACGAGAUAUGUCAAUAUAAAAUAAUUAAAAAUAUUAUUUUAAUAUUAUUCGUGCAUCGCACGGGUACGUAUACUAGUAGUUUUAAAAAGAGAGGACAAAGCCUCUACAUCAAGCCAAGUGGCAGUCCAAAAAUAAGUCACUUGAUAGUUUAGAACAAAAUAUAAUUAGAAUAGUUAUUAGUUGCUACUAUUUUUAAUUUGCUUUUAACAUUUUAAAAAUAAAUUUAAAUUUUGGCAGAAUUUACAGUUGGCAGUUUUUUAAAAAUUCAAAUUUUAAUAAUUAUAUAGAUGUUUUAGUCCUAAUAUACUGCCAACUUCCAUUUAUUUUUAAAAUUUGAAACUUAUACAACUUCUUACACUUACUAGAUUAUCCUUUAAUCUUUAAAUUAGAUUCUAAUUAUACUUUUGAUGUAAAAUAAUUUUACGUAAAAAAAAAAUCAGUUACAACUUCUACGAUUUUUUUUCUCUUAUGUUGAUCACCUUUUACGAUAUUUGUUUCAAAAUCCAACAACAUCUAUGGCUACGUGAAAUAACCAAUGUUCUAAGAAAACUCUCUUCUACCUCGAAAUCAUCUGGAAUGUAUGGAUGUUUGCUUUUCAAAUGGCAAACAUGAUCUACUGUUCUGAUAUUGCUCAAGGACACAGGUAACUAUUAGUUAGUAUAUUGCUAGUUUACCUACUUGAUACGACGUUAACUUAUUAAUCUUGAAAUAGCAGUAAUUAUACAAGCAAUACAUACCAAUAUUACUACCCAUAAUAAAAACUUCAUUAACCCAAACAAAUCUUUCUGUAUUAAAGCAAUAUUUACAGAAUAGGUGCUACGAUUUUCUCUCUUAUGCAUCCAAAUAUUGUAGUAUCGGAUAGAAGCAUCAUAGCUACUAUAUUCUAUGAUGAUUCUUUUGGAAAUUUUGAAUAGUACUAUUGUGAUUAUAUUAUUUGUGCCUAUUUCAAAUCUAAUCCGCAUUUUAUUCAAGUUGAAUAUUUGAAUAAAACAUAUAUAUUUUUAAGAUAUUAUUCGAACUUUUUUAAAAUUAUGUGUUUAGGAGUAGCCAUGACAUCUUUUGUACUUGCUAGUGAUUAUAUUAUGCAUAAUUAUGAUUAUGAUUACAUUAAUUAUUAAUAUUGGUGAAAUAGAAAUAAUGAGAAAGAAGAGUGGGAGGAAAAUAGUUGUUUUUAGGAUAAUGGACACAAAUUGAGAAGAGAAGGGGAAAUAAUCGAACACUAAGCAGAGGGUAAAAGUUUAUUCACACCCGAUGUUUAUAUCAAGUUAAUACACGCAUGUCAUGUAUUUAAAUUUAGAAUUCAUUUUACUUAAUUAUAAGUAAUUAACAUAUAUUUUAUUUUACUAAUUAAGGUGUUACUAGAUUGUUUUAUUGGACUGUGUCUGAUUACUUCAACGAGUUGUUUCCUUAAUGUAGUACAACACAUUGAGAGUUGUUGAGACUUGAAGCUAUUUUUCAAGAUCCAGAUUGGUUACUGUUGGGUUCAAUUGGAGUGAAUGGAAAAUGGAGGGACACAACCUUUUGAGGAAAAGACACAUUAUUUUGGAAAAGGAGUGGCUGUUCGGAUAGUUGUGUCUGUUCAAAAAAAGACACAAUAUUUUGAAUGAACAGACAUGACUCUUCCAAAUAAUACACCUUUUCGGAUGAACCAUUGCCACCUUUUAGAAGGGGCACAUUAUAGCUAUAUAAACCUAUAUUUUUUCCACAGGUUUAGAAUGAAAAAAUUUCUGCAUAAGAAAAAUAUUCUCUUGCUUCUAAAAACUCUGUGAGAUCAUCUCCCGUUGAGUGAGUUAGAAGAAAACCAGAAAGUUAGAGGUACCGCUACAUUCUGGUUGUGAAGUCAUUUUAUCCUGGGAGGAAAAUUUUGCAACCUUGGGUACUCGAGGGGAAUUAUUUCCUCAAGAGCACUCCGUGAAUUCAGAGGACAUGACUUUUUUCUGUUUCAUCUAUUUUUCUUUAAGAAACUGAAAACAUACUUCUUUGAAAGAUCAUUUUGAUCUUGUGUUGAAGGUGUUGGACAACUUCAUAAGUGUUCUUGAUUUAUUCUUGAACUUGUGUUGAAGUAGUGUUGAAAAUACAGAUUUUGUGUACCUGAAAAAUAACAAUCUUAAGGAAAUAAUAUUACUAAUCUGUAUUGUUUCGUUUACUAUUUUUUCAGUAAAUAGUUGAACUUCAUAUUGAUAGUUCUUCAACCUUUUGAACUUGUGUUUGAAGUUCUUGAAACUUUAUUUUGAUAGCUCAUAAGUUGGUUGAACUUGUGUUGAAGUUCUUAACAUUUGAUUUUGCUAUUUUUCAGAAAAUAGUUUGAACUUCAUUUUGUUGAUGUUUAUAAGUUGGGUUGAACUUAUUGUUAAAAGUUAAAAGUUGUAAAUAUAGAGUUAAAACUUCAUUUGAUUGUUCAUAUGUUAAUUUGAACAUGUGUUUGAAGUUAUUAUUGAAAAAUACAGAUUUUAUCAAAAUUGAGAAAAACAACAAUCUUAAGGAAAUAACUUUUGAAAAAAUAGUAUUUUUUUUUGCUUGUUUAGUGAAAUUUUCUUUUCACUAAAGUUUUUUUUUCGGAAUCUGUAUUGCUUGGUUUCUGGAGAUUAAACCUUUUAGCUUUCUACUCCGUUUGAACUUAACUGGUGAUUUGAAGAAAUAAAAAAUCUUCAUCACAAGUUAAAGAUCACUUGGUUGACGAUUGGAAGUCAUAAAAACUUCAUCAUUAAACUAGAAACAAGAGGUGUUUAAAGUUGCUCCAACUUUAUUAAUAGUAUUUUGAUAUACUAAAGUUACUGUCUUGUUAUGAUAGGAAAGUGACUAUGGAUAGUCAAGUGCAUGAUGUUGCAACGACAGUGGCUGCAACUAGUGUUGCCACAACGAGUCGUACAAAUGCUCCGCCGACAAUGGCACCAACGAAGAAACCCAAAAAGUUCGCGGGUAUUAACUUCAAAAGGUGACAGCAAAAAAUAUUUUUCUACCUUACAACUCUUUGUCUUCAAAGGUUCACAUUUGAGGAAGCUGUAGAGGUGCCCGAGAGAACCUCUGAACAAGAGCGAUUUGUGAUUGUGGAGGCUUGGAAACACUUAGAUUUCCUUUGCAGGAACUACAUCUUGAUUGGUCUCCAAGAUGAUCUCUACAAUAUGUAUAGUGGAGCAAAGACAACAAAAGAGUUGUAGGGAGCGCUGGAACGAAAGUACAGGACAGAGGAUGCAGGAACUAAAAAGUUCUUCGUUGUAAGAUUUUUGGAAUAUAAAAUGAUAGACAACAAGUCGUUGUCUCCCAAGUGAAGAAAUUCAAGAGAAAGUGCUUUAACUGCGGCAAGAUUGGCCACAAGUCUACGGAUUGUCGUGCUCCAAAAAAAGGCAAGAAAAAAGACCAAGCAAAUAUGGCUGAGUCCAAGAAAAAAAUGAACGAUCUGUGUGCUAUGUUGUUCGAAUGCAACUUAGUGGAAAAUCCUUGUGAAUGGUGGAUAGAUUUCAAUGCCACCCACCAUGUUUGCGCUAAUAAGGAGUUAUUUGCUAAUUUUUCUCCGGUUUAAGGGGAAGAAAAUAUCUUUAUGGCUAACUCCGCUACUGCAAAAGUAGAAGGAACAGGAACAGUAUGCUUAAAAAUGACAUCAGGCAAAGUGUUGACACUCAAUAAUGUCUUGUAUGUACCAGAGUUAAGAAAGAACUUGAUUUCUGUAUCACUUCUAGACAAGAACGGAUUUAAAUAUGUAUUUGUGUCCGAAAAAGUUCUACUUAGUAAAAGAGAAGUUUAUGUAGGAAAAGGCUACCUCAAUGAGGGCCUAUUUAAAAUGAAUGUAAUAAAUGUUGAAAUCAAUAAAAGUUCAGUUUCUUCUUACUUGCUUGAGUCUUAUGAUUUAUGGCAUGAACGAUUAGGCUAUGUUAAUUACAAAACAUUGAAAAAAUUAAUUAACUUAGAAGUUUUUUCAAACUUUGAGUGCAAUAAAUCAAAAUGUCAAACGUGUGUGGAAUCAAAGUAUGCUAAGCAUCUGUAUAAGUCCGUUGAAAGAAUUCCAAUCUCUUAGACUUAAUCCACACUUACAUUUAUGAUAUGAAGUCAACACCAUCUCGUGGUGGAAAAAAGUAUUUUAUAACUUUUAUUGAAGAUUGCACUAGAUAUUGUUAUGUCUAUUUGCUAAAUAGUAAGGAUGAAGCAAUAACUGCGUUUAGGCAAUAUAAAACUGAAGUUGAUAAUCAGUUAGAGAAAAAUAUCGAAACGAUAAGAAGUGAUAGGGGCGGAGAAUUUAUAUCUCCCUUUGCGAAAAUAUGUGUAAAGAAUAAAAUUAUCCAUCAAACUACAACCCCGUAUUCACCUCAAUCUAAUGGAAUUGCGGAAAGGAAAAAUCGAACCUUGAAAAAAAUAAUGAAUGCCUUACUUAUUCAGGUUUACAACAAAACUUAUGGGGGAAAGCUAUCCUUACGGCUAACCGAAUACUCAAUACAGUGCCCCAUAGUAAGACACAAUCAAUUACAUAUAAAAAAUAGAAAGAAAGAAAACCCAACUUGAAAUAUUUCAAAGUUUGAGAGUGUCUAGCGAAGGUCCAAGUUCCUAUGCCUAAAAGUGUAAGGAUAGGACCUAAGACGGUGGACUGCGUGUUCAUAGGAUAUGCUAAAAGUAGCAAAGCAUGUUGGUUUUUGGUUCAUAAGUCCUAACAUCCGGAUAUCAAUGAAAAUAUGAUAAUUGAAUCAGAUAAUGCUGAAUUGGUUAAAAAUAAUUAUUCGUAUAAAACUAGACAUGAACAGUCUAGUGGGGGGUCUAAACGACCUCAAAAUGAACCAAGUGAGGAUAUACAUAAUGAUGAGAAUCCAAGGCGUAGUACAGUCAAAGAAUGGCAACUUCGUUUGGAUCGAAUUUUGUAACAUUUCUCUUAGAAAAUGAACCUCAAACAUUUAAAGAAGCGAUGGGUCUUCGGACUCAUCCUUUUAGAAAGAGGCAGUCGAUAGUGAGAUUGAUUUAAUCUUAAACAACCAUAUAUAGGAGUUGGUUGAUCUUCCUCCAGGAAAAAAACCUUUAGGUUCUAAAUGGAUCUUCAAAAGGAAAAUGAAAGCGGAUGGUACUAUUGACAAAUACAAGGCAAUACUCAUAGUAAAAGGCUUUAAGCAGAAAAAAGGCCUUGAUUACUUUGAUACAUACUCGCCAGUAACAAGGAUAACGUUGAUUCGAAUGUUAAUUGCCCUGACGGCGGUAUAUGAUCUUAAAAUCCAUCAAAUAGAUGUGAAAAUCACAUUUCUAAAUGGAGAAUUGGAGGAAGAAAUUUACAUGGAACAACCUGAGGGUUUUGUGAUUUCAGGAAAAGAAAAUAAGGUGUAUAAAAAUGUUAAGUCACUUUAUGGACUAAAACAAACACCUAAACAAUGGCAUGUGAAGUUUGACCAAACCAUGUUGGCAAACAUAUUCAAGAUUAAUAAAUGUAAUAAAUGUGUGUAUAUUAAAGACACUCCAAAUCAACAAGUCAUUGUGUGUUUAUAUGUGGAUGAUAUGUUGAUUAGCAGUAGAGACAUUUCUGACAUAAAUGCAACAAAACGAAUGCUCAAGAGCAAAUUUAAUAUGAAAGACCUUGGAAUUGCGGAUGUGAUCUUAGGGAUAAGAAUCCAUAGAACUCCACAAGGGUUGGCAUUGUCACAGUCUCAUUAUAUUGAAAAGGUACUUUACAAAUUCAAGUAUUUGAAAUUUGGUAUUGCCAAGGCUGCAUUGGACGUGAGCUUUCCACUUCAAAAGAAUGAAGGUGAAAGUGACUCAUAGUUGGAGUACGCAAGAGUGUUGGGAUGUUUAAUGUAUAUCAUGAAUUGUACAUGACCAGACAUAACAUGUGUCAUUAACAAGUUGAGUCGGUACAAUAAUAAUCCCAAUAAAACUCAUUGGAUGGAAAUGAAAAGAGUUUUGGGGUAUCUUAAAUACACUCAAGACUAUGCUUUUCAUUAUAAUAAAUAUCCCUCGGUACUUGAAGGAUAUAGUGAUGCAAAUUGGAUCACCGGAUCGAAUAAAGUAAAAUCCACGAGUAGAUAUGUAUUUACUAUUAGUGGAGGAGCGAUCUUUUGGAAAUCUUCCAAAUAAACAUGGAUCGCUCGCUCUACAAUGGAAUCUGAAUUUAUCGCAUUGGAUAAAGCCGGUGAUGAAGCAAAAUGACUUUGAAAUUUCUUUUAAGAUAUUCCUUAUUGGCCCAAACCAGUGACACCAGUAUGUAUACACUGUGAUAGCCAAGCGACAAUAGGUAGGGCAGGGAGAAUGAUGUACAAUGAUAAAUCUCGUCACAUAAGAUGGAGAAAUAAUACCGUUAGAGAACUUCUCUCUUGUGGAAUUAUCACUGUUGACUAUGUGAAGUCAGAAUAAUGUGUCAGAUCUACUUACAAAAGGCCUAUCUAGAGAAGAAGUUGAGAGAACAUUCAAGGAAAUAGGUUUAAGGCCUAGGACAAGUAAGCAUGACGGUAACUCUACCUAGCAUCCUGGAGAUCCCAAGAGCUAGGUUCAAGGAGAUCAAACAAAGUUGUGUCUGACAGGUUCAAUAUUAUCAAUAUACCCAAUUCAUUCUCAUGAUGUAGACAAUGUUUAGUAAACAAGGAUAAGACUUAUGGUGUAAAGUCUUAUAAUGAUUAUCUAAAUUUGGAAGAUUGAUCAAAUAGUUUAAUCUACAGGAUUGAACGUUUAGAAAUUACCUAUGUGAGGGCAAAGUUGAAGCCGCUUCAAAGAGAAUGUUAGUAAAGGCCUAUUCUCUUAGCUCUUAUGAGACCGAAACGUAUUCAUGGCUGAAACGAAUAAAAUUGUGAGAACCAUAAAUGAUAAAAGGAUAGUUGUGUGACAUAUGUUGUCUAGUGUACAUUAAAGCUUGACGGUUCAAAGAUAUCAAAUCUAUCGAUUGACCGAGUGCAUCCGAUGCAUGUUCACUAUGGAAAGUUCAAAGGGAAACCUAUUUAUCCAGAUGCAAUCAGUCUUUGAUUGAUGAUCACAUACUUGUCUGUAAAAUUUUACAAAGAAUAGCCAUUCCCCAUUCAUGUGGGAGAUUGGUGGGUUCAAUUGGUAUGAAUGGAAAAUGGAGGGACACAACCCUUUGAGGAAAAGACACAUUGUUUUGGAAAAUGAGUGACUGUUCAUAUAGUUGUAUCUGUUCAGAAAAAGACAUAAUAUUUUGAAUGAACAUACAAGACUCUUUUAAAGGAUACACCUUUUCGGAUGAAUUAUUGCCACCUUUCGGAAGGGGCACUUUAUGGCUAUAUAAACUUGAAUUUUUUUCACAGGUUUAGAAUGAAAAAAUUUCUGUAUAACAAAAAUAUUCUCUUGCUUCUAAAAAAUCUGUGUGAUCAUCUCCCGUUGAGUGAGUUCGAAGAAAACUAAAAAGUUAGAGGUACCACUACAUUCUGGUUGUGAAACCAUUUUAUCCUGGGAGGAAAAUUCUGCAACCUCGGGUAUUUGAGUGGAAUUAUUUCCUUAAGGAAACUCCAUAAAUUCGAAGGACUUGGCUUUUUUCUGUUUCAUUUAUUUUUCUUUAAGAAGCUGAAAACAUAAUUCUUUGAAAGAUCAUUUUGAUCUUUUGUUGAAGGUGUUGGACAACUUCAUAAGUGUUCUUGAUUUAUUUUUGAACUUGUGUUGAAGUAGUGUUCCAAAAAUACAGAUUUUGUGUACCCAAAAAACAACAGUUACAUGUCAGUUAGCUGUAAAUUUCAUACUUGAGUUGCUAUUCUGUUUGGAUUAGACUGUGUCAUGAUUAACGAAUCAAAUAAUCCAACAUGACGAGUACGUAACAUUCUAUCUAAAUUCAGGGUCUAUCAGAAAUAACCUCUCUAUCCCUAUGAGGUAGUUUUAAGGUCUGCAUAUACUCUACCCUCACUAGACUCCACCUAUGAAAUUACACUAGGUAUGUCAUUAUUGAUAAGUAGCAUUCUAAAAGAUCGAAACUUUGUACCAAGGAAUUUGUAAAAAAAUAAAAGGGCGUGGUGUCUCCUUUAUUAGUUGAAACUUCAUUGAAACUUUAAGAACCAAACUAGAGACAUGAAACAUCAAUUGCAAUAUUGCUUCCCAAGUGUCUGUUGUGAGUUACUUUUAACCCUACGCAUAUCGGGAGCUUUAGUGCACUGCGCUGCCCUUUUACUAAGUAACACAAAUUUUUGAUUACUCUUUUCUUAUUUGAUUUUAGAAUGCGUGGUCUCUUUUUAAUUUUGGUGUCAAAUUUCAAAUUGCUUCAACGGGCAUUCCCAUAAGAGGUUGCAAUUUUUAGAGAUUUGAGAGUGCUGCUCUUAGGGCAUAUUUAGAGGAUUUUCUUUCUUUUUUUCUUCCUUUAUGUCCAAAAUAUUAAAGAGUUCUUUAACCUUUGGCUUUUUUCCUUAUUGAUUUUGCACAUUCAUUGAUAAUUUUGUGUCUCCUUCAAUAGUUGCCACUUAAUAAGCUAUGCAUGAACAAGAUGACGUGACACUACUCUUGCAUUUUGGGAGGCAUUUUCUAAUAUUCCUACGUAUUAUUCCUUUUUGGCAUUCCCUGUCUCUUGUAUGAAAACAUACACUAAUUUGUUUUAGAGAAACUCUAAAUUGAGUCUUGUGAGAAAACUAAAGUUGUAACUCUUCAACUUUAUGUAGUUAACAUUGUGUUUUUUGAUGUUUAUGUUUUUUUUUUAAAAAAUAUUUCUUUAGUCUGUUUAAUGGAUAGUAGUCCAAUUUCUAAUUUAGUGUUUGGUUAUCUAAUGAAUUUUCAGUGAUCUUUUCAUUCUUCAACGUAUAUAUGCUCAUUUCUUUCUUCCCAUAUGCUAUAAUCUUUUGCUUAAUUUGUUUUAGUAUAACAUUAUGGUAACUGGUAAGGAGAUCUCAUUUUGUUUAUUGAGUACUAAUAAAUUUUGUUUUAUACCCUGUCUUAAAAGGGCAGUCCGGUGCACUAAAACUACCUCUAUGCGCGGUGUCCGGAAAAGGGCCCCACCACAAGGGUGUAUCAUACGCAACCUUACCUUGCAUUUCGGCCAGAGACUGUAAACCUUGUCUUAAUCCUAGAUUUUAAAUUUCUGAUCUUUAUAUGAAUUUAAGAAAACACCAUCAAUAGAAUUACUUUAAACACUACUUUGGUGUUACAAAUUGUCUCGGUGUAACUUCUGUAAACAUCGAGCGCCAACACUAUUUGCUUUAUUAUUUUUCCCUUGGAAGAGUAGGUUAUCGGAAACUGCAAAUUCAAAUCAGAUUAAUCAACUUUAUCAAGGCUUAGGUUCUUUGGAACAUUUUUUUUUUUUUUUUUUUUUACAAUUUUAGAAAAGAUAAUUUUAGCACUUUUUCUUUAUUUUAGUAUCUCGAGCCGAAGUUCUUUUGAAAACUGUCUCUCCUCAAAGUAGAGUUAAGAUUUGUGUACAUUCUAUUAUCCUGAAAUUCACUUACAGGAUUUCACUUAAUAUAUUGGCUUUUAAGCACUGGUGUAAUUUGUUUAGAGAAUAUGAAUUUCAUAAGCAUCAAGUUGAUGAAAAAUAAAGCGCUUCGUCCAAUACGGAGUAUCAGAAUAAUAUGUCUACAAUGGAAUUAAAGGUAACUUUUUUUAUUUAAUUAUCAAAUUUGGUAUAUCAACCUUUUCCUUACAAUUAAAUUAUUCUCUAUAAUUGCCACAAGGUGUCUCAGCGGUCAACGAAGUGGGUUGAGAACAUGAAUGUCUCGGGUUCAAACCCCGACAGAGAUAAAAAAACAAGGUGAUUCUUCCCAUAUGUUCUAGCAUUGGUGGAUAGAAUCUGGUGGGAGGUGUUAGGUAUCCCGUGUAUAUAGUCAAGGUGCGCAUAAGCUGGCUAGGCACCAUGAUUAUCAAAAAUAUUAUUCUCUGUAAUUUAAUGUUUUUGUUUUGGUUACAAGAGAAUUCAUGUUUGGUUAAACAACAUUAAAAGCAUUCUUUAUAAUCUUCAAAUUUACGGGUGCUAUUCCAACUGAAAAUUAGUUCUAUGAUUAAUUUUCUUAGAUUUAUUUGAAACCUGUUAUUGAAUUCAGGAUAUGAUUUUACUUAAUGGUGUAUGUUGCAAAAUGAAGUGAUUUUACUGGUUAUAUGUAUCAAAAAGGAUGUUCAGAAGUAAUGAAUAAGAUAUACAUCACCGAUUCUAUUUUUUAAAACAUAAAUGCAGAACUUUUAGCUAUAACUUUGAUAAGAACAAUUACAAAUUUCAACUAAAAACUACAAGCAGGUGAAUAUUUGAGUUUACAAUCGUAAUAAGUUUAUAUACUUGGCCAAAAUUUCAAUUAUAAAUUAAGUCUUUUAUACUUUCCGCGCAUCGUGCAGGUACUACACUAGUGGUAACUAGGUUCCUUAAUUAAAUGCGUAGAAAUAUAUGAAAUAAAUGUAUUAGAGUAAAAUUGAUGGAGACCAUCUAAAAUGAUGCUAUAUUUGUUGGUUAGCAAUUUUUUAAAAAUUGUUGGUAUAGUAAGGGCUUAUGUUUCUUAUGUCACGUAAUUUUUUUUAUCAAAGAAACAUAAAAUCAAAAUUAAAACAUGUUUGUGAAAGGUUACAGAACCAAAUCUUUCUCUAAGUGCUUACUAAAAAGGUCACAUAUUCAAAAGUUAAAAUCUCUUGACCACUUGUAAAAUGAAUAGAUAAAAGUAUUUUUUUAUAUUUGUUUUAAGUGUAAAAAUGAAAAUCUAUUGAAAAGAUUAUAAAACUAAAAAAAUAAAUAAAAUAUAAAUUUCCAAAAAAAAAAUCAACUAUCCCCGCAUAUUAGCAAGUCAUUAAAAAUUAAAGUGUUCUUCUUGGUUUGCUCUUAUUAAUUUUUUUUUUACUUGUUCAAUUUAUUUAUUUUUAUUUGAUGAAAAAGAAAUUGAUUUAAAUUGAUAUUGGUGUUUUUUUUUUUUUUUUUUAAAGUAUUAAGACCAAUUCUAGUAUUUAGAUUAAUUAUUUUAAUCCUUAAUUUACUCCUGCCUCAAUAUGACCACCUUUCAUCUAAUACUUUUAGGAAAACGGAUAAUUUUUCAGUCAAAUUCUUUUUUCAUAAUACAAAUCAUUAUAGCAUAAAACCUUAAACCGAAUUUGAAAAGGUUAAGUUCCAAAUACAAUCCAAUUAGAAUAAGGAUUAGGUUCAGUUCUGCCCUGCUAUGUAUUGCUAUCCAUUAUAUCAACAUCCUAAUACACCUUAUUAAUUCCACCACUUUGUGCUGCCUGUUUAAUAGGUGUGAAUAAAAAAUGGAGGGACACAAUUUUUGAGGAAAAAACAUAUUAUUUUAGAAAAUAAGUGACUAUUCAGAUAGUUGUUUCUGUUCAGUUAAAGACACAAUGUUUCGAAUGAACAGACAUGACUCUUCCAAAGGAUACACCUUUUCGGAUGAACCAUUGUCACCUUUCGGAAGGGGCACUUGAUGACUAUAUAAACCUUCUUUUAUCCACAGGUUUAGGAAUGAAAAAAAUAAUAAUUCUGAAAUACAAACUCUUCUUGUCUUCAAAACAUUCCUUGUGAUCAAUCAAAUCGUUGAGUGAGUUCGACGAAUCCAAUUAUUGAGGUACCAGUAUAGUUGGAUUGAAAGACCAUUUAUCCUGGGAGGAAGAUUCCAAAACCUCGAGUACAGUGAGGGGAAUUAUUCCUUAAGGACACUCCAUGAAUUCGGGGGACUUGGCUUUACAUUUCUGUUUCAUCUUAAUUUCUGAAAAAAUAAAACACACUUCUUAGAAAGACCACUUUGAUCUUGUGUUGAGUGUGUUGUUGUACUUCAUAGUGUUCUUGUUUUAAAGAAAAUGAUGAAUGUCUUACUUAUAAGUUCAGGUUUACCGCAAAACUUGUGGGGGAGGCUAUCCUUACAGCAAACCGAAUACUCAAUAGAGUUCCCUAUAGUAAGACACAAUCAAUCCCUUAUGAAAAAUGGAAAGAAAGAAAACCCAACUUGAAAUAUUUCAAAGUGUGGGGGUGUCUAGCAAAGGUCCAAGUUCCUAUACCUAAAAAGGUUAAGAUAGGACCUAAGACGGUGGACUGCGUGUUCAUAGGAUAUGCUAAAACUAGUAAAGCAUGUCGGUUUUUUGUUCAUAAAUUCGAACAUCCGGAUAUUAAUGAAAAUACGGUAAUUGAAUCAGAUAACGCUGAAUUCUUUGAAAAUAAUUAUCCGUAUAAAACUAGACAUGAACAGUCUAGUGGAGGGUCUAAAUGAUCUCGAGAUGAACGAAGUGAGAAUGCACAUAAUGAUGAGAAUCCAAGACGUAGUACCCGUCAAAGAACGUCAACUUCAUUUGGAUCGGAUUUUGUAACAUUUCUCUUAGAAAAUGAACCUCAAACAUUUAAGGAAGCGAUGACGUCUUCGGACUCAUUCUUUUGGAAAGAGGCAGUCGAUAGUAAGAUUGAUUCAAUCUUAAGCAACCAUACAUGGGAGUUAGUUGAUCUUUCUCUAGGAAACAAAUCUUUAGGAUCUAAAUGGAUCUUCAAAAGAAAAAUGAAAUCGGAUGGUACUAUUGACAAAUACAAGGCAAGUCUUGUAGUAAAAGGCUUCAAACAAAAAGAAGGCCUUGAUUACUUUGAUACAUACUCACCGGUAACAAGGAUAAUGUCGAUUCGAAUGUUAAUUGCCUUGGCGGCGGUAUAUGAUCUUGAAAUCCAUCAAAUGGAUGAGAAAAUCGCAUUCCUAAAUGGAGAAUUGGAGGAAGAAAUUUAAAUGGAACAACCUGAGGGUUUUGUGGUUCCAAGAAAAGAAAAUAAGGUGUGUAAACUUGUUAAGUCACUUUAUGGACUAAAACAAGAACCUAAGCAAUGACAUGCAAAGUUUGACCAAACCAUGUUGACAAACGGAUUUAAAAUUAAUGAAUGUGAUAAAAUGUGUUUAAUUAAAGACACUCCAAAUCACCAAGUCAUUGUGUGUUUAUAUUUGGAUGAUAUGUUGAUCAUUAGUAGAGACAUUUCAGACAUAAAUGCAAUGAAACGAAUGCACGAAAGCAAGUUCGAUAUGGAAAACCUUGGAGUUGUGGAUGUGAUCUUAGGGAUAAGAAUCCAUAGAACUCCACAAGGGUUGACAUUGUCAUAGUCUCAUUACAUCGAAAAGGUACUUGACAAAUUCAAGUAUAUAAAAUUUGGUAUUGCCAAGACUCCAUUGGAUGUGAGCUUUGCACUUCGAAAGAAUGAAGGUGAAAGUGACUCAUAAUUGGAGUACGCAAGAGUAUUGGGAUGUCUAAUAUAUAUAAUAAAUUGUACACGACCAGACAUAGUAUGCGCUAUUGGUAAGUUAAGUCGGUACACGAGUAAUCCCAACAAAACUUAUUGGUUGGCAAUGGAAAGAGUUUUGGGGUAUCUCAAAUACACUCAAGACUACGCUUUGCAUUAUAAUAAAUAUCCCACGGUACUUGAAGGAUAUAGUGAUGCAAAUUGGAUCACCAGAUUGAACAAAGUAAAAUCCACGAGUGGAUAUGUAUUUACUAUCAGUGGAGGAGCGGUCUCUUGGAAAUCAUCCAAAUAGACUUGUAUUGCUCGCUCUACAAUGGAAUCUGAAUUUAUCGCAUUGGAUAAAACCGGUGAAGAAGCAGAAUGACUCUGGAAUUUCUUAGAAGAUAUUUCUUAUUGGCCCAAACCAGUGGCACCAGUAUGUAUACACUGCGAUAGCCAAAUGAGGAUAGAAAGGGCAGGAGCAUGAUGUACAACGAUAAAUCUCAUCACAUAAGAUGGAGACAUAAUAUCCUUAGAGAAUUUCUCUCUAGUUGAAUUAUCACUGUUGACUAUGUGAAGUCAAAGGAUAAUGUGUCGAAUCCACUUACAAAAGGCCUAUCUUGGUUAGGAGUUGAGAGAACAUCCAAGGGAAUGGUUUUAAGGCCUAGGACAAGUCAGCAUGGUGGUAACUCUACCUAGCAGACUGGAGAUCCCAAGAGCUAGGUUCAAGGAGAUUAAACAAAGUUGUCUCUAACAGGUUCAACAUUGGCAAAAUACCAACCCAUUCUCAUGAUGUAGACAAUGUUUAGUAAACAAGGAUAAGACUUAAGGUGAAAAGUCUUUUAAUGAUUAUCUAAAUUUGACAGAUUUGACCAAAUAGUUUAAUCUAUAGGAUUGAACGUUUAGAAAUCACCUAUGUGAGGGCGAAGUGGAAGCCGCUUCAAGGAGAAUGUUAGUAAAGGCCUAUUCUCUAAACUCUCAUGAAAUCGAGACGUGUUCAUGAUUGAAAAGAACAAAACCGUGAGCACAAUAAAUGGUAAAAGGCUGGUUGUGUGACAUGUGUUGUCUAGGUGUACAUUAAAGCUCGACGGUUCAAAGAUAUCAAAUCUACUGAUUGACCGAGUGCAUCCGAUGCGUGUUCACUACGAAAAGUUCAAAGGGAAACCCAUUUAUCCUGAUGCAAUAGUUUUUGCUUGAUGAUCACAUAUUUGUCCAUAAAGUUUUACAAAAAAAUAGCCAUUCCCCAUUCAUAUGGGGGAUUGUUGGGUUCAAUAGGUGUGAAUGGAAAGUGGAGGGACACAACCUUUGAGGAAAAGACAUAUUAUUUUGGAAAAUGAGUGACUAUUCAGAUAGUUGUGUCUGUUCAGAAGAAGACACAAUAUUUCAAAUGAACAAACACUACUCUUCCAAAGGAUACACCUUUUCGGAUGAACCAUUGUCACCUUUUGGAAGGGGCACUUGAUGGCUAUAUAAACCUGCUUUUAUCCACAGGUUUAGGAAUUAAAUUUUUUUUUUUUUGAAAUACAAACUUUUCUUGUCUUUAAAACAUUGGUUGUGAUCAAUCAAAUCGUUGAGUGAGUUCGACGAUUCCAAUUAUUUGAGGUACCACUAUAGUUGGAUUGAAAGCCAUUUUAUCCUGGUAGGAAAAUUUCAAAACCUCGGGUACAGUGAAGGGAAUUAUUCCUUAAGGACACUCCGUGAGGUUGGGGGGACUUGGCUUUACAUUUCUGUUUCAUCUUAAUUUCUGAAAAAAUAAAACACACUUCUUAAAAAUCCCUCUUUGAUCUUGUGUUGAGGGUGUUGUUGUACUUCAUAGUGUUCUUGUUUUAAACUUGAACUAGUGUUGAAGUUAUUGUGUCAAAUUACAGAUUCUUGUACCCGAAAACGUUGAAAGAUAACACUGCCUUCUUCACAAAUCUCACAUAUACAUACAUGGCUGCCUGCAGUCGUAUUGGGGAUUCUCUCUCUGUUUUGCGUUGGCGCAUAUGCUUUGAAAGGAUGCCCGUUUAAAGCCUUGUACCAGCAACAUAGGAAUUCAAUAUCAAUUGAUCACCGUCAACAACUCUCAAUUCAUGUCAACAACGAUACGCGGACAGUGAUUGGAGAAACACCUCAUGAUAUUAACUUCUUUACUCGAUAUGAUCAAUGGCACAAAAAUCAAGCCACCACGAUGGAGAAAGAGAAAAGUACCAAUAACAAUGACUACAACAAUUUCUGCAUAGUAGGUUUCAUCAUUGUUAUAACUCUUGCGAUUAUCCGUCUAUUUCGUGUUGAUCAUGCCGCUCACGCUCCGAGGGAAUGUCCGUUUAAAUCCAUGUACCGCAAAUAUGGAAAUUCCAUGUUGUCAAGUAGUACUAAUCUUGGAGUAAUUGGAGAAACACCUCAUGAUCGUAGCGCCUUUUUUGAUCAACAUCAAUGGCUCAAAAAUCACGUUAACAUGAUGCAGAAAAAGAUGUAAUUAAUGAAUCAAAGAUCAAUUUUAUGGAGAACACAUUGAAGCAAUGAUUAGAAUGUCUUUAUUGGUGACUAAAAACAUAGUAAUAUGUAUUGUACUUAGUAGAUGUUGGUCUAAGUCAUUGAACAAGCGUCUGUUCUAAUUGUGAAAUAGAAUCAUAAUAUUAGUUUAUCUAUGUUUUCUUAGUUUUGUUUUUAAUUAGCGCUAUAGACUUGUUUUUCCAGAUGUCAUGACUCAUGAGCUCCACUUUGAAUGUAAACUAUAGGAUAUGUGGGGUACUUAAUGAUUGUUAAGUAUGUUUGGUUGUGGUUACUCCAAAAAUCUCCACAUGGAAUGUGCGUGUUUUUCCCCUUUGGAAAUCGUGAUUUCCGAUUUAGCUUAUUACGUAUCUUUCACUAGUGAGUAUCAAGAAAGAAUUAUCUAGUGUUUUUAUAAUUAUGUUAAAAUUCAAAUCUAAGAUCUUGUAUUUUUUUGUUAAUUAGUUGUUAGGUCUGAAUGUGACUGGAAAAAGAUUGUGUAAGGAAGUGCACUUCAAUUUUUUUUUUUUUAAAUCGUGAAAGUUGUAAACGAGCAUUUCAUUUGAAAUAUAUAUUUUCAAACCAAUUUUCAUUUCAUGUUCAAAUACAGAAAUUUCAAAUACUUAUGAUCAAAAUUGAGGAAAAAAAAUUAAACGAACAAAACUGGGAAAAAGAGAAACAAUUAGGAUCGGGAUUCACAAGAAAUUUGUGGUGAAGCGGUAGUUUAUCCUUAACUUAGUCUCAAAGAUUUAAGCUCAAGAUAUGAAGCCGCCUUACCUUCAAAGUGCGAUUUUCUAACAUAAAUUCAAAUUAAUUUUUGUACUUAACUUAAUUAGUCUCAUUCAAUAGCGACUCAAGUAAAUUCGUGGCCUAAGACUAAAAUCAAACGGAAGUCUUAAUUUUUUAAGAAAAAAUAAUUUUUUUUUAUAAAGUCUACUUUUAAAAUUAUAUAAUCGAUUUCUUCUAAUAAUUUUUUUUAAUUAAUAAUAUAAUCAAUGUAUUAAAUCUUUCUUGAGACAUAUUAUUCUAGACUAGAUAUAUCACUCCUUUUAAAUUCCUUUUACGUAAAGAGUUUAUUUUUUCUACAAAUAGUGGUAAUCUAUUAUUACUAAAAAUAAAUACAUAAGGCCCCUCAAAUUUGGAAAUAUACGGAGGUGCCUUUUUUUUUUUUUUUCGAAAGGGCAGAGUCGCUCCUAGUCUCAAGGUUGUGCAUUUAUUUGUCUUUUUGGUUUGCCCUUAUUUUUUUCCUUCUUCAAUUUAAUUUUUUAUUUGAUCAUAAAAAGUUACUUUAAAUUGUUAUUGAUAUUCUUUUUAAAUUUAUUAAAACCAGUUUUAGCAUUUAAAUUAAGUGUGUUGUCCAAUAAAAUAAAAAUAGCUUGAGUGUUGGAACUUGGAAUUCUCAAUUUUACUCAUGCCUCAAUAUCUAUAUCUAUAUCUAUAUCUAUAUCAAUAUCUAUAUCUAUAUCUAUAUCUAUAAUCUAUAAUCUGUAAUCUACAAUUCUAUAAUAUAUUAAAAGUGUGAAGACCCUUAUAAAAGUGAUUUAAACUUUUUGUCCUUUAUUACAAGUCUCUACUUUAGACAAAUCGUAUUUUCACUAUUUUUCUAAUAAUAAAAAACAAACAUUAAACAAAAAAUUACAAGAAAAAUUCAAUCCAGAUUUGAUUUGGAUUUGGGAGUUAAAACUCGUGCUUAUAUAUAUGCUUUUGUUUAGAUUUUCUUGUACAACUAAAGUCAACCAAAAUUAAAUAAAAUAAUAUUUAACACUUCUAAAUCAAUUCAAAUUUUACCUUAUAUAAAUUAGAGUCCUAUUUAAGGAGUAAUAUUUUGGAUCAAACUUUACAAAAACAUAGUUUUGCAUAUAUUUUUUGCUUAAUUUAAUAAUUUUGAUUCAAGUUUUCUUCUUACAAUCAUUAUUAUCAUCUACUUUCUCUUGUUUUUUCUUUCAGUUUAUUUUGUUUGAUAGGACAAUUACAACUUACCUUCAACUGCUGAUCCUUUGAAAUGUACAUAUGUAUAUGUCCUUUGAAAAUAUUGUUUGGUUCCUCACAUAGCCAAAUUAGAGAUAAAAGAGCUAAGAGGUUUUUUUUUUUUACAAUUCUGUCAUCGUAAAAUUUAUUUGAGUAGAAAUAUGACAGAACCAGGUAAGAAUUAGUUAUACUAAAUGGCUCAUGCAUAAAGUCCUUUAUAUACUAGUAGGAGCAGUAGUUUUUGAUUAAGAGUCAUAAUUGAUCUAUGCUUCGUAUUGAAUAUUGAAGUUUUAAAUUUUUUGCAUUGUUCUUAUUUACUUAUUUUUAGUGAGUUAUAACUUAUUUUAGUCAGUAAGUUCUCUUUGAUUCUCUUGUGUUGUAUUCUAUAAUUUUUUUCUUUAACAAUGAACAAACGUCUUCUGUGGAAAGUUGGACAAUACGCUAUUUCUUUGGUCAUUAUUUGAUUAAUUUUUUGAAAUUAUAGAUUAUUGUAUGGAGUAGACAUGAAAUUAAUAUAUACCCACAUGAAGACAUCUCUAUAUCAAGUUCGUUUGUUUAAUCUGUCAUUUAGUUAAAUUUGAAGUUGUAAAAUUUCAUUGUGUUAACUCUUACAUGUUCAUAGUUAGUAUGACGGGAUUUUGUCAUUGGUGGUGAACAUUUAGAGGAAGAGGUACAUGGAGAAAUGAGUGUUUGAUAGCUCAAUUUAAAGAUGUGUUUGAUUCAUUACGAGGUCACUUCUAUUCUAUUCUUCUUCUUCUUCCUUUUUUUCUUGGGUCAUCUUCUUAAUUUCGCUCUAAGCUAUUAAAUUAUGUCAACUAAUUCGUUGAGUAAAAAUGAUAACAGAAAAGAUAUUUUGAUGAAUACAACUAAGAAGAAUAAUCUGGAUCAUACGCGUGACUUGCGAGCUACCAAUAUAAGAGUCUUUUGAGCCUUAAAAUUCUUUCAUGUUUAUUUCUCUUAUAUGAUUCAUUAUUUGAAUUUAACUUUUAAAAGUAUAUAUAAAUUUAAAGAUUAUUUUUUAUUGAUGGUUAUUAAGGACAUAUCAAACAAGUAUUCAAUGUAAUUGUAAUAGCUUCAUUUUAGAAGUCACAAUUAUGACUUUGGAAACUUUAUAAUGUAGUAAGAUGCUAUAUUAGUUGCUUUAAUUGUGUUUAUAGCUAAAAAUCAACAUGUCAAGGGUUUUCCUCUUUUAAUAAUUUCUCAUGUAUUUUCUUUAAUUAAAAUAUUUUGAUCGAAAAAUUUGACGUGAUACACGUACAUUAAACUAGUUUCAUCUAAUAAUAGGAAACUAAUAUUAUUAUAGCAUAAAAUUUUAAACCGAAUUUGAAAAGGUUAAGUUCCAAAUACGAAUCCAAUUAGAAUUAGGAUUAGGUUCAGUUCUGCCCUUCUAUAUAUUGCUGUCCAUUAUUAUUAUAUCAACUUCCUAAUACACCUACAAAUCACAAAUAUACAUACAUGGCUGCCUCAACAAAAUUAGCAGUCGUCUUGGUGAUUCUCUCUCUGUUUUGCAUCGGUACACACGCUUUGAAAGGAUGUCCGUUUAAAGCCCUGAACCAGCGACAUUGGAAUUCAAUCUCAAUUGAUCAUCGUCAACAACUUUCAAUUCAUGUCAACAACAAUACACGGAUAGUAAUUGGAGAAACACCUCACGAUAUCGACUUCUUUACCCGACAUGAUCAAUGGCUCAAAAAUCAAGUUAUCACGAUGGAGAAAGAGAAAAGUACCGAUAACAAUGACUACAACAAUUUCUACAUAGUAGGAUUCAUCUUUGUUGUUAUUCUUGCGAUUAUCAAUCUACUUCGUGUUGAUCAUGCCGCUCAUCACGCUCCAAGGGAAUGUCCGUUUAAAUCCAUGUAUCGUAAGUAUGGAAGAUCUAUGAUGUCAAGUAGUACUACUCUUGGAGUAAUUGGGGAAACACAUCAUGAUCAUAGCACCUUAUUCGAUCAACAUCAAUGGCUCAAAAAUCACGUUAGAAUGAUGCAGAAAAAGAUGUAAUUUAUGACCUACAAGAUCUUUUAUAGCAUAGACAUUGAAGCAAUGAUCAGAUGAGGUACUUUAUUGGUGGCUAUAAACAUAGUAAUAUGUAUUGUAGUAGAUGUUGGUCUAAGUCGUUCUAAUUGUGACAAUAGAAUCAUAUUACCUACUUAUUGGUUUAUCUAUAUAUGUUUUCUUAGUUUUGUUGUCAGCUUGUACAUACUCGUUUUCCUAAAUUUUCACAUGCUCCAGUUUGAAUGUAAACUAAGAUAUGUGGGCUAAUUGAUUAUAUGUUUGGUUGUGGUUACUCCAAAAAUCUUCACUAGGAUGUUGUGCCGUGUAUUUUUAUCCUCUCAGAAUCGUUGUGUCUUAUGUCUUGUUAUCAGCUUGUACAAACUCGUUUAUAUGAAAUAAUUCGUAUUUAUUGAAAAAACUAUGAGAAUUAAUUCAAAUUUGUCCAUAAAUCGUACGUUAAUGGUAUACAGUUUAGAUGCAACUUUGAACCAUCAUAUAUAAUUUAGAACAAAUUUGGACCUUUACCAUGCCGUAGUAAUUAAAAAAAACAAGAAGAAAAAAUUUCAAACAAACGAAAUGGGGGAAAAGAGAGACAAUUAGGAAUGGGCUUCACCACGAAGGGUGGUUGGGAAACAAAUUAUUUCCGAAUUAGUUAUCCCCAAAUUAUUAUCUUUUGAUUAUUUAUUUUGGGAUUGCUAUUUCACUCUCAAGGUGAGAUAAAAAUAACACCACAAUCUCCGGAUAAGUUAUUCCAUGAUUUUAUCUCAAUCAAAUAUGAAAUAAACUCAUCCUAAAAUUAAUUUCGAGAUUAGUUAUUCAUUGUUCCUCCUACCAAACGAGUUCUAAAGGUUGUGGUGGAGUUGUAACUAGUAAGUACUUGUUUAUUCUUAAAUAAAUGUCUCAUAUUUGAGCCCUAAACAUGAAGUCGUGCUUUACUCUAUUUCUAACACAAUUUUAAAUAAAUCAAACCUCAAAACAUCCGAUCUGGAUAAGAGAAAAAAAAAGAGAGUAGGAACAGGAAUCACAUGGGUAUACACUACUCCCUUCGUCUCAUUUUGUAUGACACACUUUUCUUUUUGAUUGUUCAGACAAAGAAUGAUGCAUUUUUUUAUUUGGUAACUAUUUAAGACGUAGUUUUUUUAUCCUUAUUGAUUCCUCUUAAUUUUAUUCCUUCUCUUUUUUACCUUUUUUUUAAAAAAGAACAAUUUGAUAAAAUUCACAAAAUUUUUAUUUAUUUUUUAAACUCCGUGUAACAACUCAAGUUACUAAUACAAGAAUAGCAAGUAUUAUAACCUUUACUUAUUUUUAAAACUCUGUGUAGCAACUCAAGUUACUAAUACAUGAAUAAAGGUAUUAUAAUCAGCUUCAUGUUAGGGGUUUUAUCUUUUCAACUCAGCUAUGUCCUUCAUCCGAAGACAUGAUGGACAACUACCCUUAUUUGUUCACUUCUAACAAUGAUUCAGUAAGAGUAAUAGAUCUCUCUCCUAGCAUUACGCUCUUCAAAUUUCAUGUCUAAAUUGUUCCAUAUGAUUCCUAUGUAUGUGUUCAUGUUCCAUAUGUACCAGUUGAGUCAGUACUCUGUCAAAAGGGUGAUUCCAGAUAUGAAACAUGAUCAAUUUUAGAAAUUCAGUUUUAUUUUAACUUUAGAAACACCUCUGACAGAAAUGUAAGGUAAGGUUGCACACAAUACACUCUUGUGGUGGGGUCUUUCCCUGGACCCUGCACAUAGCAGGAGUUUUAUUGCACCAAAAUGCUAUUUUUUUUAGUAACUACAUUCUUUUCAUCCUAAUAUCAAUCUUCAUCAUAGGAAGGAUGACCCAGGGGAGAGAUAUUAUAAUACUCCCAAAGUUCAUGCAAGUUCUUAGUGGGUUACUAUGUGUUUUAGGGUUAUGAGAAGUCCCUAACACAUAUAUAGUUAAAUUGUAAACUCCUCUUUCGGCCAAGUUUUAGUGUGAGGUUAUUUUUGAGUCAAAUUCAAACAAUCAUUACUCCUUUAAUAUGAAAGAUUUUGCAGCGUAAAACCCACCAAACAAAAGAUCUUUGAUUCUUGUUUUCAAUGCAUUUGAUUUCUCCUUAAUCUGAUAUCGGAGUAGAAAGUUAUGCUCAUUUUACCUGAAGGUGUUUGUUUGCCAGAGAUUGACGACCUGAGUUGACGAAUUGUCAACGAGUUGACGAACCGUUAACCUUAACUAGUAAAGCUUAAAAUCGGCUAGACAUUGACGACCUAAGUUGAGAAGCCAUCAACAGGUUGACGGACCAUCAACCAAGUCGUCAGAUAGGAAGUUUCUGCAGUUUUUUUAGUUUCCUUUGGGGUAAUGGUCCUUUCCUUACCCCAAAAUCUUUCCCCACGACUUAAAUCACUCGAUAAAUGUUAUUUACUUAGCAAUUUAAUAAGUUUUCAUCGCUUUUUAUCCUCUCCACUCUCACGAGAAAUGAAAUUAGUCUUUUUUCCAAAGUUUAACUUUUGAGGCUCCAAACUCAAAGUUUCUUUUAAGAAAUUUGGGUAUGUGAGGUUUGAACAAGGGUUUCCUUUCCCCCUUGUGCCCAAAAAUGUUAUUUUUUUUUAUAAUUAAGUUUAUGGAUUUGCUUAAUAAGGUUCAUAUCCACUUUACAUGAUUUAAAAUUAUGGUGCUCUCUUUUGAAUGAAAUUGUAUUUAUUAUGAAAAUUCACAAUUUACUCAUGAUUUUACUUGUAUGGUCGAGCUCGUGAAGUGAAUUUUAUUUUUUUUUGACAUGAAAUACCAUAAGUUGGUAAAUGCAUAUGAUUUUAGCACGAUUACUUAGUUUACAAGAAAUUUAGACUUAUGAUUUUAGAUUCAGAAUGAAACUGACAUUUGUACUUAUGAUUAUGAAAUAGAAACGGAAGCAUAUUAUGGUUUUAAAAUUUAUCAGAUUAUAUGCUUAUAUGAUAGUGAAUUUCAUUUAUUUUAUUCGCAAUUGUAUGAAUUUGAGAGUAGUAACUAGCACCGAGGGGUGAGGGUUUAGCGUAUUAUAGUCCCAUAAACUAUGUACCACCGUAGGUAUUCAUUAUUCUACUUGUCCAAAUAGGCACGUACAGGUGAUCACAUUUAUACGCCUUUAUAUAGUGACAAGGUAUAUCAAGUCCUUUCUAUGAGGGAGUUAACAUCGGACUCUAUGUUACUCGCAUGGUUUAUGUCGGUUAAGAGACUCUUCUAUAGAAAUAUUAAUUUGGAAACUAAAUGUAAUGACUUACUGACCUUACUAGAUUAUAAUACCCCGUGUAUAAAAGCUACUGUACAAUGUACAAAUUAUCUUUUUAAGUCAUAUAAACAACAUAUGAGUCGUAUGUUGGAGUCGUACCUAUGGCAGUGUGGAAUAGUUGAAGUAUGUUAUAGAUACGAGUUGAUCCUAGAAGUCGUCAUGACAUGGUACGACUUUUAUAAAGUUGAGUCGUAAGGGUAACAACCUAAGUUCUCUAAGCUUUUGUCCAAGUUACUAAUGGUGGAUACAAGUCGUAUUGAGAGGUUACUAGUCAUAGGUUAGACUCGUAUGUUGACCAGUGUAUACCAUCUUUGAUCCUGCCAAGCUCACAAGUCAUGUGGCUAACUCGUAUCUUCAUCAUAUAAGUCGUAUGGUUGACUCGUCACGACUGGCGGUCAAUUUAUGUAAUGUUUAGUUAAGGGGCCUUUUGAUCUUUUCCCCUCUUAUAACCCCAACCCACGACUUAUAACCUAAAAAUGAGCGUUAUUUUCCUCUACAUUCAACCAAUUUACAACCCUUUCCUCUUUCUAUCUUCAAAAUCCUCAAGAUUAGGGUUUCUCUCACCAAGUCACCUUUCAAGUUUCAAAGUUCAAGCUCUCUUCACAAGUCAAACAAUUCCAGGUAUGUGGGGUUUAUGAAGAAGGCUAUUCUUUCAUUCUUGUGCCCUAAAAGCAUGAUUUUUAAGAGUGAAUUUACUUAUUUUGAAUUACGGUUCAUACCCAAAUAACCAUAUUCUUAAAGUAUGACAUUAUCAUGUGAUAGAAAUAUUUAAUUGUAUCAAGGUUUACAUAUAUUCAUGUCUUGACUUGUAAGAUUUAUAAUGUGAUUUGAAAUUCAUUAUAUAAACUGGGAUGUUGUUGAAAGAUUUCAAGGUGAUUAAUGAGCAUAAUAUUUUGUUAUGAAUUUCUAUGAAAUAAAGCAUGAACUCCAAGUCCUAAGUACAAGUACUGAGUUUAUAACAAGUUUAUGCUCUUAAGCUCCAUUGAUAUAUUCUAUAACAUGAUUUAAAGAAAAGCUUGAUAUUUUGAUCUAAACAUAAGACAUAAAAUCACAAGUGUUCAUCUUGAUUAUGAUUUAAAGUAAAGAGAAGCAUAACUGGUUUUUAGUUUACAAACCCACAUGCUAUUUUAAGGUGGAUUUCCUAAGUAUGAGCAUAUACAUAAUUUGGGAGUAGUAGCACUGAGAAGGAAAUGCGGAUGAGUAUAACCUAAAUUCCUAAGAACUACGAGCCUCUGUAGGUUAAGCUCUUUCCCAAUAUGGAUGAAGUAUAGUUAUCACUUAAGUUAAGGUUCUAUUCUGAUGGCAAGGGUAGAACUGCUCUCCCUAACGUGGGUAAGACGUUGGACUUCAUGAUAGCUCGCAUUGUUUAUGUCGGUUAGAAGAAUCUCCCAUAAUAAAGAAUAAGGGUAAAGAUUUCUGAACCUAAGUGUUAUGGCUCACUAAGUUUACUCUUAUGCAUCAUUAUCCAUGUUUUAUGGUCUUGCAGUCUUUAGUUUUACUCAAGUUCAAUGUGAGUCAUUUACACUUAGCAUGCAUUAUUUGAAAUCUUACAGAUAUAUUCAGUUCUUGUUUUACUUUGCAUUAACCCCCACAUACUCAGUACAUUCUAGAUGUACUGACCCACAUAUAUGUCUAUGUGCUACAUCGUCUUAUAAUGUAGUUUCUGGUGCUCAUUUUCUGCAGCACGAUUGACUACGACAUCAUUACCUACAUCCCAACUUUUGGUGAGUCCUCAUAGUCCGAGGACCCAGCUUAUUAGAAUUUUAUUCAUUGAUGCAAGUAGUUUAGUUAUUUGAUUUCAUUUAUGUUCGGGUCAGCUAGGGUAUGUCCCAGUGGCUCUCUAGUUGGGUAGUAGAUACUUGUCAGACUGUGUAUUUUCUAAGUUCAAAGAGUUGGUUAAUGUUAUCAAUGUUAAAGAUUUAUAUUAAGUUUUGGAAUUGAUUAUCUUCGGUCCAUAUUCAUAUAAGGGUCAACCAUUCAUGCGAGGUGUAAGCUGAAUAGGUAUCAUGGGUUAGCUUAGGGCUAUUCGUAGUCUUGAGCACCCUAUGACGUCUAGGGGUUACUUUCGGGACAUUACAAACUUGGUAUCAGAGCUUAAUAUUUAAAAAGUCCUAGGGAGUCAGACAAGCCGCGUUAUGUAGAUUCUUGAUCAUGAAUGUGAGGCACACCAUAUUUAUGAGCGAGAGGCUACAGAACGAGUUAGGAAUCAUCAUUUCUUUCAUAAUCUAUCGUACUCAUAGUUGUCUCUAUCUGCCUUAACUCAUGCUUUUACGUGACAGAAUAUGCCUUCUCGUCAAGCCAACAAAUGUAAAAAUAGUGAUCAACCACCCCUGCACGCAGUCCCUCUGAAUAAGAAUGUAUCUCAUGCUUAAUUUUGGGUUGCCUUUCAGGCAUUGGCCUAAGCUGUAAGUGCUAAUGUUCAGGGAAAUCACGAGGCAACAAUCCCACUUCAGCAAAAUAGUAACCUAGCUGUAUCCCGAAUUCGGGACUUUAUGAGGAUGAAUCCACUUGAGUUCCAUAGAUCAAAGAUGGAUGAGGAUCCUCAACUCUUUAUUGAUAAGGUGAGAAAUAUUACUCAGAUCAUGCAUGUUACUAAAGAGGAGAGUGUAGAGCUGGUAUCCUAUAGGCUAAAUGAUAUUGCUUAUGAUUGGGUCACUAUGUGGAAGGAUGGUUGGGGUAAGAAUGCAGCUCCUAUGAGUUGGCAGGUAUUUCAAAAUGCUUUUUUUUGACAGGUUCUUUCCUCGUAUGAUGAGAGAGGCUAAAGUAGAGGAGUUCAUAAACCUGAGCCAGGGCUCUGUGACAGUGAAUGAGUACUGCCUUAAGUUUACUCAGUUGUCUAAAUAUGCCCCAGAGUUGUUAUCUGAUUUUAGAGCUCGUAUGAGUAAGUUUGUUACUGGGGUAUCAGACUUGGUGGUCAAAGAGUGUAGGACUGCCAUGCUGAUUGGGGAUAUGGAUAUUGCUCGAUUGAUGACUCAUGCUUAACAGAUUAAGGCCUAAAAGUUAAAGAAAAAAGAGAAGAGAAACAAGAGAGCUAGGAUUGGACAAUUUGAGCAUAGUCAGCCAAGGUCCGGAGGGGGAAGCCGUUCACAAUUUCAGGGCAAUUCAUCAGUACCUGCGCUAUCUCCAUCCAGUGCCCCUACACCUAGGACUCGAUAAGAGUAGUGGGGCAGGACUUCGAAUUCUAGGUCUCAGAAUAGUGUAGUCUAGAGGCCUAGUUACCCGACAUGUGCAAAGUAUGGUGGGACCUAUCCUGGUGAGUGUUUGAUGGGCAUAGGGGGUUGCUAUGGUUGUGUCAAGUUGGGCCACAGGAUUAAGGAAUGUACAUAUGUUUUGCAGGGGAGUCUAGAUCCUUAGGCUACUAAUCCAGCAGCUCAGCCAGGCUGCCCAGUUCCCUCACAGGGCGCAUCAUCCAGUACUGGUAGCGGUCAGCACCAGAAUUGAUUCUAUGCUUUAUCAUCCCACCAGGAGCAGGAGAGUUCACCAGAUGUUAUCAUUGGUAUACUUCGUGACCAUCACCUUGAUGUAUAUGGGUUGUUAGACCCGGGAUCAAAAUUUUCUUAUGUAACUCCAUUGGUUGCUAUAAAAUUUAGGGUAGGUCAUAAGAAUUUCCUUAAGCCCUUCUCAGUUUCUACUUUAGUGGGCGAGUCAGUUAUUGUUAGACGAGUCUAUAGGGAAUGUCCUAUUGCCAUCCUCUAUAAGAUCACACUAGCGGACUUAAUAGAGUUAGAUAUAGUAGAUUUUGAUGUUAUUUUGCAGGUAUUUCAAAAUGCUUUUUUUUGACAGGUUCUUUCCUCGUAUGAUGAGAGAGGCUAAAGUAGAGGA
This 41304-nucleotide long non-coding RNA is filed under the name Capsicum annuum. RNAcentral's name for it is "long non-coding RNA (CANN_LNC001407)". The stretch from base 3801 to 3874 matches the Rfam family "tRNA". The record is from RNAcentral. Lineage: Eukaryota; Viridiplantae; Streptophyta; Magnoliopsida; Solanales; Solanaceae.